This 406-nucleotide ribosomal RNA is filed under the name uncultured bacterium. RNAcentral describes it as "partial 16S ribosomal RNA". It matches the Rfam family "Bacterial small subunit ribosomal RNA", at positions 30 to 526 of the family's 1533-position model. The record is from RNAcentral.
AUUGAACGCUAGCGGCAGGCUUUACACAUGCAAGUCGAGCGAGCGGCGGACGGGUGAGUAAUGUCUGGGAAACUGCCUGAUGGCGGGGGAUAACUACUGGAAACGGUGGCUAAUACCGCAUACCAUCAGAUGUGCCCAGAUGGGAUUAGCUAGUUGGUGGGGUAAUGGCUCACCUAGGCGACGAUCCCUAGCUGGUCUGAGAGGAUGACCAGCCACACUGGAACUGAGACACGGUCCAGACUCCUACGGGAGGCAGCAGUGGGGAAUAUUGCACAAUGGGCGCAAGCCUGAUGCAGCCAUGCCGCGUGUGUGAAGAAGGCCUUCGGGUUGUAAAGCACUUUCAGCAGGGAGGCGGUACUUGCAGAAGAAGCACCGGCUAACUACGUGCCAGCCGCCGCGGUAAUUC